This 465-nucleotide ribosomal RNA is filed under the name uncultured bacterium. Its description in RNAcentral is "partial 16S ribosomal RNA". It matches the Rfam family "Bacterial small subunit ribosomal RNA", at positions 28 to 507 of the family's 1533-position model. The record is from RNAcentral.
GACGAACGCUGGCGGCGUGCUUAACACAUGCAAGUCGAACGGAAAGGCCCUGCUUGCAGGGUACUCGAGUGGCGAACGGGUGAGUAACACGUGGGUGAUCUGCCCUGCUCUUCGGGAUAAGCCUGGGGAACUGGGUCUAAUACCGGAUAGGAGCGAUUCUUCGUGUGAUGGUUGGAAAGUUUUUUCGGUGUAGGGUGAGCGCGCGGCCUAUCAGCCUGUUGGUGGGGUGAUUGCCUACCAAGGCGGCGAUGGGUAGCCGGCCUGUGGGGGUGGACGGCCACAUUAGGGCUGGUAAACGGCCUCGUGUACUAACGGUGGCAGCUGUGGGGAAUGUUGCACCAUAGGCGCUAGCCUGAUGCAGCGAAGUCGGGUGGGGGAUUGCGGCCUUCGGGUUGAAAACUCCUUUCGCUAGGGACGCAGCUGUUUGUGACGGUACCUAGAUAAGAAGCACCGGCUAACUACGUG